ACGUAGGGUGCAAGCGUUAAUCGGAAUUACUGGGCGUAAAGUGUGCGCAGGUGGCCGAGCAAGUCGAGUGUGAAAUCCCUCGGCUUAACCGGGGAACUGCGUCUGAUACUGGUUGGCUUGAGUUUGGGAGAGGGACGCGGAAUUCCAGGUGUAGCGGUGAAAUGCGUAGAUAUCUGGAGGAACACCGGUGGCGAAGGCGGCAUCCUGGACCAACACUGACGCUGAGGAGCGAAAGCCAGGGGAGCAAACGGGA
This 253-nucleotide ribosomal RNA is filed under the name uncultured prokaryote. Its description in RNAcentral is "partial 16S ribosomal RNA". It matches the Rfam family "Bacterial small subunit ribosomal RNA", at positions 525 to 777 of the family's 1533-position model. The record is from RNAcentral.